GGAAACGGACAGAGCUGGCGUAUCUGGUCUGCAUUCAUCCGUGUGUUCUUGGGCGUUUGGAUUGCCACUCUCCAGACUGGGAUGGUGUUCAUUCUGUUCAGGGGCUCAUGGAGCAUUUGCRGGCGGAGUGCGCUGAGAUGCUCGGAGCAGCUGCAUGAGCUUGGCUUUGAGGCCAGCCCUUCGGGGUCUGGUACCCGGGCUGUGGGAGUGCUGUUUGUUCUGGGUGCUGAGUGUGUGCAAUGGCAACGGGUCCGUGUUGGUUUGAGCUGGCGGUCGGUGGCGGUCGCGUGCGACACGUGCCAGCAGUCAGUUCGGUCCUGCUCGGGCUCUCAUUGCAUGUUCUCGGUGUAAAAGCCGGUCAUCUGUCCGACCCGUCUUGAAACACGGACCAAGGAGUUUAGCGUGUGCGCGAGUCAUUGGGAGUUGAAAACCCAAGGGCGUAAUGAAAGUGAAGGUCUCCUUGCGGAGCUGAUGUGUGAUCUCGUGCACCCCGGUGUGCGGGCGCAACAUAGUCCCGUCCCGAUCGCAUGCGAUGGGGCGGAGACAGAGCGUACGCGCUGAGACCCGAAAGAUGGUGAACUAUUCCUGAGCAGGAUGAAGCC
This 602-nucleotide ribosomal RNA is filed under the name Globodera sp. cyst-Cundinamarca3A. Its description in RNAcentral is "partial large subunit ribosomal RNA". It matches the Rfam family "Eukaryotic large subunit ribosomal RNA", at positions 415 to 853 of the family's 3401-position model. Lineage: Eukaryota; Metazoa; Nematoda; Chromadorea; Rhabditida; Heteroderidae. The record is from RNAcentral.